AGUCAGCUUGAAGCGCGUGAAUGAAGCAUAACUUAUUUUAAGCUAGCUCACUUUCUCCGUCUGCGAAAAUGAGCGAAAUGUUAGUCAGGCUAGCUUCUUGCACGGUCUUGUCGGUUCACUUACUUGCCUGAAGCGAAACUCUAAAAGAGAACUCGACUAAACGUGUAGAUUCCCUCGGUCGCAACCUUUGGAUGCGGGUUCGAUUCCCGCCGCCUCCACCA
RNAcentral lists this transfer-messenger RNA (221 nucleotides) under Pyrinomonadaceae bacterium. RNAcentral's name for it is "partial transfer-messenger RNA". It matches the Rfam family "transfer-messenger RNA", at positions 156 to 374 of the family's 374-position model. From Rfam's summary of the family: Bacterial tmRNA, also known as 10Sa RNA or SsrA, is named for its dual tRNA and mRNA-like properties. Its role is to liberate the mRNA from a stalled ribosome. Lineage: Bacteria; Pseudomonadati; Acidobacteriota; Blastocatellia; Blastocatellales; Pyrinomonadaceae. The record is from RNAcentral.